UACGUAGGGGGCAAGCGUUGUCCGGAAUCAUUGGGCGUAAAGAGCGUGUAGGCGGCCAGAUAAGUCCGCUGUGAAAUCUCGAGGCUCAACUUCGAGCUGUCGGUGGAAACUGUCUGGCUAGAGUCCGGAAGAGGAGAAUGGAAUUCCUGGUGUAGCGGUGAAAUGCGCAGAUAUCAGGAAGAACACCCGUGGCGAAGGCGGUUCUCUGGGACGGUACUGACGCUGAGACGCGAAAGCGUGGGAGCGAACAGG
This 252-nucleotide ribosomal RNA is filed under the name uncultured bacterium. RNAcentral's name for it is "partial 16S ribosomal RNA". It matches the Rfam family "Bacterial small subunit ribosomal RNA", at positions 524 to 776 of the family's 1533-position model. The record is from RNAcentral.